This 23-nucleotide transfer RNA is filed under the name Billia hippocastanum. RNAcentral describes it as "partial tRNA-His". The record is from RNAcentral. RNAcentral also lists the same sequence under 1 other name. Lineage: Eukaryota; Viridiplantae; Streptophyta; Magnoliopsida; Sapindales; Sapindaceae.
GGCGGAUGUACCCAAGUGGAUCA